This 656-nucleotide ribosomal RNA is filed under the name uncultured archaeon. RNAcentral's name for it is "bacterial SSU rRNA". It matches the Rfam family "Archaeal small subunit ribosomal RNA", at positions 162 to 816 of the family's 1478-position model. The record is from RNAcentral.
UUAGGGCACUGGAAGGUCCCUAAACCGAAAGGGGCUCUGCCCGCCCGAGGAUGGGCCGGCGGCCGAUUAGGUAGUUGGUGGGGUAACGGCCCACCAAGCCCAUAAUCGGUACGGGCAGUGAGAGCUGGAGCCCGGAGAUGGACACUGAGACACGGGUCCAGGCCCUACGGGGCGCAGCAGGCGCGAAACCUCCGCAAUGCUCGAAAGAGCGACGGGGGGACCCCAAGUGCCGUGGUACAACCACGGCUUUUCCGGAGUGUAAGAAGCUCCGGGAAUAAGGGCUGGGCAAGGCCGGUGGCAGCCGCCGCGGUAAUACCGGCGGCCCGAGUGGUGGCCACUAUUAUUGGGCCUAAAGCGUCCGUAGCCGGGCUUGUAAGUCCCUGGCGAAAUCCCACGGCUCAACCGUGGGGCUUGCUGGGGAUACUGCAAGCCUUGGGACCGGGAGAGGCCGGGGGUACUCCUGGGGUAGGGGUGAAAUCCUAUAAUCCCAGGAGGACCGCCAGUGGCGAAGGCGCCCGGCUGGAACGGGUCCGACGGUGAGGGACGAAGGCCAGGGGAGCAAACCGGAUUAGAUACCCGGGUAGUCCUGGCUGUAAAGGAUGCGGGCUAGGUGUUGCUUGGACCUCGAGUCCAAGCAGUGCCGCAGGGAAGCCGUU